AGCGAACGCUGGCGGCAGGCUUAACACAUGCAAGUCGAGCGGGCAUCCUUGUGGUGUCAGCGGCAGACGGGUGAGUAACGCGUGGGAACGUGCCCUUCGGUUCGGAAUAACUCAGGGAAACUUGAGCUAAUACCGGAUACGUGCGAGAGCAGAAAGGUUUAUCUGCCGAAGGAUCGGCCCGCGUCUGAUUAGCUAGUUGGUGAGGUUACGGCUCACCAAGGCGACGAUCAGUAGCUGGUCUGAGAGGAUGAUCAGCCACACUGGGACUGAGACACGGCCCAGACUCCUACGGGAGGAAGCAGUGGGGAAUAUUGGACAAUGGGGGCAAGCCUGAUCCAGCCAUGCCGCGUGAGUGAUGACGGCCUUAGGGUUGUAAAGCUCUUUUCUCCGGGACGAUAAUGACGGUACCGGAGGAAUAAGCCCCGGCUAACUUCGUG
Molecule: ribosomal RNA, 437 nt
Filed under: uncultured bacterium
Lineage: Bacteria
Description: partial 16S ribosomal RNA
Rfam family: Bacterial small subunit ribosomal RNA
Source: RNAcentral